RNAcentral lists this ribosomal RNA (948 nucleotides) under Epicoccum latusicollum. RNAcentral describes it as "eukaryotic LSU rRNA". It matches the Rfam family "Eukaryotic large subunit ribosomal RNA", at positions 80 to 1048 of the family's 3401-position model. Lineage: Eukaryota; Fungi; Ascomycota; Dothideomycetes; Pleosporales; Didymellaceae. The record is from RNAcentral.
CUAGUAACGGCGAGUGAAGCGGCAACAGCUCAAAUUUGAAAUCUGGCGUCUUUGGCGUCCGAGUUGUAAUUUGCAGAGGGCGCUUUGGCAUUGGCAGCGGUCCAAGUUCCUUGGAACAGGACGUCACAGAGGGUGAGAAUCCCGUACGUGGUCGCUAGCCUUUACCGUGUAAAGCCCCUUCGACGAGUCGAGUUGUUUGGGAAUGCAGCUCUAAAUGGGAGGUAAAUUUCUUCUAAAGCUAAAUACUGGCCAGAGACCGAUAGCGCACAAGUAGAGUGAUCGAAAGAUGAAAAGCACUUUGGAAAGAGAGUUAAAAAGCACGUGAAAUUGUUGAAAGGGAAGCGCUUGCAGCCAGACUUGCCUGUAGUUGCUCAUCCGGGUUUUUACCCGGUGCACUCUUCUACGGGCAGGCCAGCAUCAGUUUGGGCGGUUGGAUAAAGGUCUCUGUCAUGUACCUCCUCUCGGGGAGAACUUAUAGGGGAGACGACAUGCAACCAGCCCGGACUGAGGUCCGCGCAUCUGCUAGGAUGCUGGCGUAAUGGCUGUAAGCGGCCCGUCUUGAAACACGGACCAAGGAGUCUAACAUCUAUGCGAGUGUUUGGGUGUCAAGCCCGAGCGCGUAAUGAAAGUGAACGGAGGUGGGAACCUUUCGGGGUGCACCAUCGACCGAUCCUGAUGUCUUCGGAUGGAUUUGAGUAAGAGCAUAGCUGUUGGGACCCGAAAGAUGGUGAACUAUGCUUGAAUAGGGUGAAGCCAGAGGAAACUCUGGUGGAGGCUCGCAGCGGUUCUGACGUGCAAAUCGAUCGUCAAAUUUGGGCAUAGGGGCGAAAGACUAAUCGAACUAUCUAGUAGCUGGUUCCUGCCGAAGUUUCCCUCAGGAUAGCAGUAACGUUUUCAGUUUUAUGAGGUAAAGCGAAUGAUUAGAGGACUGGGGGAUGAAACAUCCUU